GGUCAUACCAUUUUGAAUAUAUCGGUUCUCGUUUGAACACCGAAGUCAAGCAUCAUCGGGCGUGAUCAGGUCCAGGGUAAUCACCUGGGAAAUCCGCGUGCC
Non-coding RNA from Caerostris extrusa, 102 nucleotides. Lineage: Eukaryota; Metazoa; Arthropoda; Arachnida; Araneae; Araneidae. The record is from the annotation of a GenBank genome assembly.